Molecule: ribosomal RNA, 860 nt
Filed under: uncultured bacterium
Lineage: Bacteria
Description: bacterial SSU rRNA
Rfam family: Bacterial small subunit ribosomal RNA
Source: RNAcentral
CGGACGAACGCUGGCGGCGCGCCUAACACAUGCAAGUCGAACGAGAGAUGAGGAGCUCGCUCUUCAAAUCGAGUCGGCGAACGGGUGAGUAACGCGUGAGGAACCUGCCUCAAAGAGGGGGACAACAGUUGGAAACGACUGCUAAUACCGCAUAAGCCCACGGCUCGGCAUCGAGCAGAGGGAAAAGGAGCAAUCCGCUUUGAGAUGGCCUCGCGUCCGAUUAGCUAGUUGGUGAGGUAACGGCCCACCAAGGCGACGAUCGGUAGCCGGACUGAGAGGUUGAACGGCCACAUUGGGACUGAGACACGGCCCAGACUCCUACGGGAGGCAGCAGUGGGGAAUAUUGCACAAUGGGGGAAAACCCCGAUGCAGCGACGCCGCGUGGAGGAAGAAGGUCUUCGGAUUGUAAACUCCUGUUGUUGAGGAAGAUAAUGACGGUACUCAACAAGGAAGUGACGGCUAACUACGUGCCAGCAGCCGCGGUAAAACGUAGGUCACAAGCGUUGUCCGGAAUUACUGGGUGUAAAGGGAGCGCAGGCGGGAGAACAAGUUGGAAGUGAAAUCCAUGGGCUCAACCCAUGAACUGCUUUCAAAACUGUUUUUCUUGAGUAGUGCAGAGGUAGGCGGAAUUCCCGGUGUAGCGGUGGAAUGCGUAGAUAUCGGGAGGAACACCAGUGGCGAAGGCGGCCUACUGGGCACCAACUGACGCUGAGGCUCGAAAGUGUGGGUAGCAAACAGGAUUAGAUACCCUGGUAGUCCACACCGUAAACGAUGAUUACUAGGUGUUGGAGGAUUGACCCCUUCAGUGCCGCAGUUAACACAAAUAAGUAAUCCACCUGGGGAGUACGACCGCAAGGUUG